GCCAGUGUGGCUUAGUGGUUUGAGUGCUGGACUACAACUCUGGAGACCAGGGUUUGAUUCCCUGCCUGGCC
This 71-nucleotide transfer RNA is filed under the name Phrynosoma platyrhinos (Desert horned lizard). RNAcentral describes it as "tRNA-OTHER". It matches the Rfam family "tRNA". Rfam says of the family: Transfer RNA (tRNA) molecules are approximately 80 nucleotides in length. Their secondary structure includes four short double-helical elements and three loops (D, anti-codon, and T loops). The record is from RNAcentral. Lineage: Eukaryota; Metazoa; Chordata; Lepidosauria; Squamata; Phrynosomatidae.